This 467-nucleotide ribosomal RNA is filed under the name uncultured bacterium. RNAcentral describes it as "bacterial SSU rRNA". It matches the Rfam family "Bacterial small subunit ribosomal RNA", at positions 43 to 505 of the family's 1533-position model. The record is from RNAcentral.
CAGGCCUAACACAUGCAAGUCGAGCGGGGAAGGUUGCUUCGGUAACUGACCUAGCGGCGGACGGGUGAGUAAUGCUUAGGAAUCUGCCUAUUAGUGGGGGACAACAUCUCGAAAGGGAUGCUAAUACCGCAUACGUCCUACGGGAGAAAGCAGGGGACCUUCGGGCCUUGCGCUAAUAGAUGAGCCUAAGUCGGAUUAGCUAGUUGGUGGGGUAAAGGCCUACCAAGGCGACGAUCUGUAGCGGGUCUGAGAGGAUGAUCCGCCACACUGGGACUGAGACACGGCCCAGACUCCUACGGGAGGCAGCAGUGGGGAAUAUUGGACAAUGGGGGGAACCCUGAUCCAGCCAUGCCGCGUGUGUGAAGAAGGCCUUUUGGUUGUAAAGCACUUUAAGCGAGGAGGAGGCUACUGGUAUUAAUACUACCGGAUAGUGGACGUUACUCGCAGAAUAAGCACCGGCUACUCUG